Molecule: ribosomal RNA, 552 nt
Filed under: uncultured bacterium
Lineage: Bacteria
Description: bacterial SSU rRNA
Rfam family: Bacterial small subunit ribosomal RNA
Source: RNAcentral
GAGUUUGAUCCUGGCUCAGGACGAACGCUGGCGGCGUGCUUUAUACAUGCAAGUCGAACGAGGACCGGGUGCUUGCACUGGAGCCGAGUGGCGAACGGGUGAGUAACACGUGACCAAUCUGCCCUUGGGAGAGGGACAACCUGGGGAAACCCGGGCUAAUACCGCAUGACGUGCAGCCAUCACAUGGUGGCGGUACUAAAGGGGGCCUCUACAUGUAAGCUCUCGCCCAGGGAGGAGGUCGCGGCGUAUCAGCUUGUUGGUGGGGUAACGGCCUACCAAGGCUACGACGCGUAGGGGUCUGAGAGGACGAUCCGUCACAUUGGGACUGAGAUACGGCCCAGACUCCUACGGGAGGCAGCAGUAGGGAAUAUUGCGCAAUGGUCGAAAGACUGACGCAGCGACGCCGCGUGUGGGAGGAAGCCUUUCGGGGUGUAAACCACUGUCAGAUGGGAAGAACAACGCAUGUUCAAACAGGGCAUGCGCAUGACGGUACCAUCAGAGGAAGCGCCGGCUAACUCCGUGCCAGCAGCCGCGGUAAGACGGAGGGCGCAA